Molecule: ribosomal RNA, 1191 nt
Filed under: Acinetobacter baumannii
Lineage: Bacteria; Pseudomonadati; Pseudomonadota; Gammaproteobacteria; Moraxellales; Moraxellaceae
Description: bacterial SSU rRNA
Rfam family: Bacterial small subunit ribosomal RNA
Source: RNAcentral
GUUUGAUCAUGGCUCAGAUUGAACGCUGGCGGCAGGCUUAACACAUGCAAGUCGAGCGGGGGAAGGUAGCUUGCUACUGGACCUAGCGGCGGACGGGUGAGUAAUGCUUAGGAAUCUGCCUAUUAGUGGGGGACAACAUCUCGAAAGGGAUGCUAAUACCGCAUACGUCCUACGGGAGAAAGCAGGGGAUCUUCGGACCUUGCGCUAAUAGAUGAGCCUAAGUCGGAUUAGCUAGUUGGUGGGGUAAAGGCCUACCAAGGCGACGAUCUGUAGCGGGUCUGAGAGGAUGAUCCGCCACACUGGGACUGAGACACGGCCCAGACUCCUACGGGAGGCAGCAGUGGGGAAUAUUGGACAAUGGGGGGAACCCUGAUCCAGCCAUGCCGCGUGUGUGAAGAAGGCCUUAUGGUUGUAAAGCACUUUAAGCGAGGAGGAGGCUACUUUAGUUAAUACCUAGAGAUAGUGGACGUUACUCGCAGAAUAAGCACCGGCUAACUCUGUGCCAGCAGCCGCGGUAAUACAGAGGGUGCGAGCGUUAAUCGGAUUUACUGGGCGUAAAGCGUGCGUAGGCGGCUUAUUAAGUCGGAUGUGAAAUCCCCGAGCUUAACUUGGGAAUUGCAUUCGAUACUGGUGAGCUAGAGUAUGGGAGAGGAUGGUAGAAUUCCAGGUGUAGCGGUGAAAUGCGUAGAGAUCUGGAGGAAUACCGAUGGCGAAGGCAGCCAUCUGGCCUAAUACUGACGCUGAGGUACGAAAGCAUGGGGAGCAAACAGGAUUAGAUACCCUGGUAGUCCAUGCCGUAAACGAUGUCUACUAGCCGUUGGGGCCUUUGAGGCUUUAGUGGCGCAGCUAACGCGAUAAGUAGACCGCCUGGGGAGUACGGUCGCAAGACUAAAACUCAAAUGAAUUGACGGGGGCCCGCACAAGCGGUGGAGCAUGUGGUUUAAUUCGAUGCAACGCGAAGAACCUUACCUGGCCUUGACAUACUAGAAACUUUCCAGAGAUGGAUUGGUGCCUUCGGGAAUCUAGAUACAGGUGCUGCAUGGCUGUCGUCAGCUCGUGUCGUGAGAUGUUGGGUUAAGUCCCGCAACGAGCGCAACCCUUUUCCUUACUUGCCAGCAUUUCGGAUGGGAACUUUAAGGAUACUGCCAGUGACAAACUGGAGGAAGGCGGGGACGACGUCAAGUCAUCAUG